CACGUAUUUAGCCGGAGCUUUCUUCUAUGGUACUGUCAUUAUCUUCCCAUAGGACAGAACUUUACGAUACGAAUACCUUCUUCGUUCGCGCGGCGUCGCUGCAUCAGGGUUUCCCCCAUUGUGCAAUAUUCCCCACUGCUGCCUCCCGUAGGAGUUUGGACCGUGUCUCAGUUCCAAUGUGGCCGUUCAUCCUCUCAGACCGGCUACUGAUCGUCGCCUUGGUGGCUGUUAUCUCACCAACUAGCUAAUCAGACGCGAGCCCAUCUAUGACCGAUAAAUCUUGACCGUUAAAACAUGUGUUUCUACGUAUUUUAUGCGGUUAUUAACGUCCCGGUUUCCCGAGGCUAUCCCACUGUCAUAGGCUAGGUUGCUCACGCGUUACUCCACCCGUUCGCCACUCUCAUUAGUAUCUUCCACGUAAGCUUCUGUUACUAAUCCCGUUGACUUGCAUCGUAGUUAAGC
This 462-nucleotide ribosomal RNA is filed under the name uncultured Finegoldia sp. Its description in RNAcentral is "partial 16S ribosomal RNA". Lineage: Bacteria; Bacillati; Bacillota; Tissierellia; Tissierellales; Peptoniphilaceae. The record is from RNAcentral.